GCGGGGAAUAUUGCGCAAUGGGCGAAAGCCUGACGCAGCGACGCCGCGUGCGGGACGAAGGCCUUCGGGUUGUAAACCGCUUUCAGCAGGGACGAAGCGAAAGUGACGGUACCUGCAGAAGAAGGUCCGGCCAACUACGUGCCAGCAGCCGCGGUAAUACGUAGGGACCGAGCGUUGUCCGGAUUCAUUGGGCGUAAAGAGCUCGUAGGCGGCUGUUCAAGUCGAACGUGAAAACUCGGAGCUCAACUCCGAGCCUGCGUUCGAGACUGGAUGGCUAGAGUCUGGUAGGGGGAUCUGGAAUUCCUGGUGUAGCGGUGGAAUGCGCAGAUAUCAGGAGGAACACCGGUGGCGAAGGCGGGAUCCUGGGCCAGUACUGACGCUGAGGAGCGAAAGCGUGGGGAGCAAACAGGAUUAGAAACCCUAGUAGUCC
Molecule: ribosomal RNA, 430 nt
Filed under: uncultured bacterium
Lineage: Bacteria
Description: bacterial SSU rRNA
Rfam family: Bacterial small subunit ribosomal RNA
Source: RNAcentral